RNAcentral lists this ribosomal RNA (301 nucleotides) under uncultured bacterium. RNAcentral's name for it is "partial 16S ribosomal RNA". It matches the Rfam family "Bacterial small subunit ribosomal RNA", at positions 509 to 807 of the family's 1533-position model. The record is from RNAcentral.
CAGUCGCCGCGGUAAUACAGAGGGUGCGAGCGUUAAUCGGAUUUACUGGGCGUAAAGCGUGCGUAGGCGGCUAAUUGAGUCGGAUGUGAAAUCCCCGAGCUUAACUUGGGAAUUGCAUUCGAUACUGGGAAGCUAGAGUAUGGGAGAGGAUGGUAGAAUUCCAGGUGUAGCGGUGAAAUGCGUAGAGAUCUGGAGGAAUACCGAUGGCGAAGGCAGCCAUCUGGCCUAAUACUGACGCUGAGGUACGAAAGCAUGGGGAGCAAACAGGAUUAGAUACCCGGGUAGUCCCUGUCUCUUAUAC